RNAcentral lists this ribosomal RNA (423 nucleotides) under uncultured prokaryote. Its description in RNAcentral is "bacterial SSU rRNA". It matches the Rfam family "Bacterial small subunit ribosomal RNA", at positions 355 to 796 of the family's 1533-position model. The record is from RNAcentral.
UAACGAAUAUUCCGCAAUGCACGAAAGUGUGACGGAGCAAUGCCGCGUGCAGGAUGAAGCCCCUCGGGGUGUAAACUGCUGUCAGGGUUCAGGAAUUUUGACCAGACCCAAAGGAAGGGCCGGCUAACUUCGUGCCAGCAGCCGCGGUAAUACGAAGGGCCCUAGCGUUAAUCGGAAUCACUGGGCUUAAAGGGUGCGCAGGCGGACAGGUCAGUGUCUUGUGAAAUCCCACGGCUCAACCGUGGAAUUGCUUGGCAUACUGCCUGUCUUGAGCCCGGCAGGGGCCGUCGGAACUCUAGGUGAAGCGGUGAAAUGCGUAGAUAUCUAGAGGAACGCCAAAGGUGAAGACAGACGGCUGGGCCGGUGCUGACGCUCAGGCACGAAAGCGUGGGGAGCGAACGGGAUUAGAUACCCCCGUAGUCC